RNAcentral lists this ribosomal RNA (2917 nucleotides) under Escherichia coli. RNAcentral's name for it is "bacterial LSU rRNA". It matches the Rfam family "Bacterial large subunit ribosomal RNA". Lineage: Bacteria; Pseudomonadati; Pseudomonadota; Gammaproteobacteria; Enterobacterales; Enterobacteriaceae. The record is from RNAcentral.
GGGUUGUGAGGUUAAGCGACUAAGCGUACACGGUGGAUGCCCUGGCAGUCAGAGGCGAUGAAGGACGUGCUAAUCUGCGAUAAGCGUCGGUGAGGUGAUAUGAACCGUUAUAACCGGCGAUUUCCGAAUGGGGAAACCCAGUGUGUUUCGACACACUAUCAUUAACUGAAUCCAUAGGUUAAUGAGGCGAACCGGGGGAACUGAAACAUCUAAGUACCCCGAGGAAAAGAAAUCAACCGAGAUUCCCCAGUAGCGGCGAGCGAACGGGAGGAGCCCAGAGCCUGAAUCAGUGUGUGUGUUAGUGGAAGCGUCUGGAAAGGCGUGCGAUACAGGGUGACAGCCCCGUACACAAAAAUGCACAUAUUGUGAGCUCGAUGAGUAGGGCGGGACACGUGGUAUCCUGUCUGAAUAUGGGGGACCAUCCUCCAAGGCUAAAUACUCCUGACUGACCGAUAGUGAACCAGUACCGUGAGGGAAAGGCGAAAAGAACCCCGGCGAGGGAGUGAAAAAGAACCUGAAACCGUGUACGUACAAGCAGUGGGAGCCUCUUAAUGGGGUGACUGCGUACCUUUUGUAUAAUGGGUCAGCGACUUAUAUUCUGUAGCAAGGUUAACCGAAUAGGGGAGCCGAAGGGAAACCGAGUCUUAACUGGGCGUUAAGUUGCAGGGUAUAGACCCGAAACCCGGUGAUCUAGCCAUGGGCAGGUUGAAGGUUGGGUAACACUAACUGGAGGACCGAACCGACUAAUGUUGAAAAAUUAGCGGAUGACUUGUGGCUGGGGGUGAAAGGCCAAUCAAACCGGGAGAUAGCUGGUUCUCCCCGAAAGCUAUUUAGGUAGCGCCUCGUGAAUUCAUCUCCGGGGUAGAGCACUGUUUCGGCAAGGGGGUCAUCCCGACUUACCAACCCGAUGCAAACUGCGAAUACCGGAGAAUGUUAUCACGGGAGACACACGGCGGGUGCUAACGUCCGUCGUGAAGAGGGAAACAACCCAGACCGCCAGCUAAGGUCCCAAAGUCAUGGUUAAGUGGGAAACGAUGUGGGAAGGCCCAGACAGCCAGGAUGUUGGCUUAGAAGCAGCCAUCAUUUAAAGAAAGCGUAAUAGCUCACUGGUCGAGUCGGCCUGCGCGGAAGAUGUAACGGGGCUAAACCAUGCACCGAAGCUGCGGCAGCGACACUAUGUGUUGUUGGGUAGGGGAGCGUUCUGUAAGCCUGUGAAGGUGGCCUGUGAGGGUUGCUGGAGGUAUCAGAAGUGCGAAUGCUGACAUAAGUAACGAUAAAGCGGGUGAAAAGCCCGCUCGCCGGAAGACCAAGGGUUCCUGUCCAACGUUAAUCGGGGCAGGGUGAGUCGACCCCUAAGGCGAGGCCGAAAGGCGUAGUCGAUGGGAAACAGGUUAAUAUUCCUGUACUUGGUGUUACUGCGAAGGGGGACGGAGAAGGCUAUGUUGGCCGGGCGACGGUUGUCCCGGUUUAAGCGUGUAGGCUGGUUUUCCAGGCAAAUCCGGAAAACCAAGGCUGAGGCGUGAUGACGAGGCACUACGGUGCUGAAGCGACAAAUGCCCUGCUUCCAGGAAAAGCCUCUAAGCAUCAGGUAACAUCAAAUCGUACCCCAAACCGACACAGGUGGUCAGGUAGAGAAUACCAAGGCGCUUGAGAGAACUCGGGUGAAGGAACUAGGCAAAAUGGUGCCGUAACUUCGGGAGAAGGCACGCUGAUAUGUAGGUGAAGCGACUUGCUCGUGGAGCUGAAAUCAGUCGAAGAUACCAGCUGGCUGCAACUGUUUAUUAAAAACACAGCACUGUGCAAACACGAAAGUGGACGUAUACGGUGUGACGCCUGCCCGGUGCCGGAAGGUUAAUUGAUGGGGUUAGCGGCAACGCGAAGCUCUUGAUCGAAGCCCCGGUAAACGGCGGCCGUAACUAUAACGGUCCUAAGGUAGCGAAAUUCCUUGUCGGGUAAGUUCCGACCUGCACGAAUGGCGUAAUGAUGGCCAGGCUGUCUCCACCCGAGACUCAGUGAAAUUGAACUCGCUGUGAAGAUGCAGUGUACCCGCGGCAAGACGGAAAGACCCCGUGAACCUUUACUAUAGCUUGACACUGAACAUUGAGCCUUGAUGUGUAGGAUAGGUGGGAGGCUUUGAAGUGUGGACGCCAGUCUGCAUGGAGCCGACCUUGAAAUACCACCCUUUAAUGUUUGAUGUUCUAACGUUGGCCCGUAAUCCGGGUUGCGGACAGUGUCUGGUGGGUAGUUUGACUGGGGCGGUCUCCUCCUAAAGAGUAACGGAGGAGCACGAAGGUUGGCUAAUCCUGGUCGGACAUCAGGAGGUUAGUGCAAUGGCAUAAGCCAGCUUGACUGCGAGCGUGACGGCGCGAGCAGGUGCGAAAGCAGGUCAUAGUGAUCCGGUGGUUCUGAAUGGAAGGGCCAUCGCUCAACGGAUAAAAGGUACUCCGGGGAUAACAGGCUGAUACCGCCAAGAGUUCAUAUCGACGGCGGUGUUUGGCACCUCGAUGUCGGCUCAUCACAUCCUGGGGCUGAAGUAGGUCCCAAGGGUAUGGCUGUUCGCCAUUUAAAGUGGUACGCGAGCUGGGUUUAGAACGUCGUGAGACAGUUCGGUCCCUAUCUGCCGUGGGCGCUGGAGAACUGAGGGGGCUGCUCCUAGUACGAGAGGACCGGAGUGGACGCAUCACUGGUGUUCGGGUUGUCAUGCCAAUGGCACUGCCCGGUAGCUAAAUGCGGAAGAGAUAAGUGCUGAAAGCAUCUAAGCACGAAACUUGCCCCGAGAUGAGUUCUCCCUGACUCCUUGAGAGUCCUGAAGGAACGUUGAAGACGACGACGUUGAUAGGCCGGGUGUGUAAGCGCAGCGAUGCGUUGAGCUAACCGGUACUAAUGAACCGUGAGGCUUAACCUUACAACGCCGAAG